This 178-nucleotide ribosomal RNA is filed under the name uncultured bacterium. RNAcentral describes it as "partial 16S ribosomal RNA". It matches the Rfam family "Bacterial small subunit ribosomal RNA", at positions 335 to 525 of the family's 1533-position model. The record is from RNAcentral.
ACUCCUACGGGAGGCAGCAGUUAGGAAUAUUGGACAAUGGGCGGAAGCCUGAUCCAGCAACGCCGCGUGAGGGAUGACGGCCUUCGGGUUGUAAACCUCUUUCAGUACCGACGAAGCGCAAGUGAUGGUAGGUACAGAAGAAGCACCGGCCAACUACGUGCCAGCAGCCGCGGUAAUA